UAGACCGCCUGGGGAGUACGGCCGCAAGGUUAAAACUCAAAUGAAUUGACGGGGGCCCGCACAAGCGGUGGAGCAUGUGGUUUAAUUCGAUGCAACGCGAAGAACCUUACCUGGUCUUGACAUCCACGGAAGUUUUCAGAGAUGAGAAGGUGCCUUCGGGAACCGUGAGACAGGUGCUGCAUGGCUGUCGUCAGCUCGUGUUGUGAAAUGUUGGGUUAAGUCCCGCAACGAGCGCAACCCUUAUCCUUUGUUGCCAGCGAUUAGGUCGGGAACUCAAAGGAGACUGCCAGUGAUAAACUGGAGGAAGGUGGGGAUGACGUCAAGUCAUCAUGGCCCUUACGACCAGGGCUACACACGUGCUACAAUGGCGCAUACAAAGAGAAGCGACCUCGCGAGAGCAAGCGGACCUCAUAAAGUGCGUCGUAGUCCGGAUUGGAGUCUGCAACUCGACUCCAUGAAGUCGGAAUCGCUAGUAAUCGUGGAUCAGAAUGCCACGGUGAAUACGUUCCCGGGCCUUGUACACACCGCCCGUCACACCAUGGGAGUGGGUUGCAAAAGAAGUAGGUAGCUUAACCUUCGGGAGGGCGCUUACCACUUUGUGAUUCAUGACUGGGGUGAAGUCGUAACAAGGUAACCGUAGGGGAACCUGCGGUUGGAUCACCUCCUUACCUGAAAGAA
This 678-nucleotide ribosomal RNA is filed under the name Salmonella enterica subsp. enterica serovar Derby. RNAcentral describes it as "bacterial SSU rRNA". It matches the Rfam family "Bacterial small subunit ribosomal RNA", at positions 865 to 1533 of the family's 1533-position model. The record is from RNAcentral. Lineage: Bacteria; Pseudomonadati; Pseudomonadota; Gammaproteobacteria; Enterobacterales; Enterobacteriaceae.